RNAcentral lists this non-coding RNA (225 nucleotides) under Desulfocarbo indianensis. Lineage: Bacteria; Pseudomonadati; Thermodesulfobacteriota; Desulfarculia; Desulfarculales; Desulfarculaceae. The record is from RNAcentral.
UAGGACAUACUCGGAGACGGUGCCCGCCAAGGGCUCAAUAGGGAAGACGGUGCGAAUCCGUCGCGGUCCCGCCGCUGUAACCGGGGACGAAAGCCGCUAAAUAAGCCACUGAUUGGAAGGCGCCAGGGCCAGCCGGCCCAGGAAAAAGCGCCAGAGCCAUUCGGGAAGGCGCGGCCAGUAGGACGAUCCGGGAGCCAGAAGACCUGCCGACUCCAGAUACGGAAU